UGUGGGUAAAUGGUAAGUGAGUGGUUGUC
This 29-nucleotide non-coding RNA is filed under the name Homo sapiens (human). Lineage: Eukaryota; Metazoa; Chordata; Mammalia; Primates; Hominidae. The record is from RNAcentral.